GCCUAUCACUAUGCGGGGGAAAAGAAACCAACAGGGAUUGCCCUAGUAACGGCGAGUGAAGCGGCAAUAGCUCAAAUUUGUAAUCUGUCUCUCUUUCGGGGUCCGAGUUGUAAUUUGUAGAGGGUGCUUUGGCGUUGGCGGCGGUGUAAGUUUCUUGGAACAGGACAUCACAGAGGGUGAGAAUCCCGUAUGUGGUCGCCGACCUUCGCUGUGUAAAGCCCCUUUGACGAGUCGAGUUGUUUGGGAAUGCAGCUCUAAAUGGGAGGUAAAUUUCUUUUAAAGCUAAAUACUGGCCAGAGACCGAUAGCGCACAAGUAGAGUGAUCGAAAGAUGAAAAGCACUUUGGAAAGAGAGUCAAACAGCACGUGAAAUUGUUGAAAGGGAAGCGCUUGCAGCCAGACUUGCUCGUAGUUGCUCAUCCGGGCGUUUCGCCCGGUGCACUCUUCUGCAGGCAGGCCAGCAUCAGUUUGGGCGGCCGGAUAAGGGUCUCUGUCACGUAUUUCUCUACGGAGUAACCUUAUAGGGGAGGCGUAGUACGGUCAGCCCGGACUGAGGUCCGCG
Molecule: ribosomal RNA, 561 nt
Filed under: Pleomonodictys descalsii
Lineage: Eukaryota; Fungi; Ascomycota; Dothideomycetes; Pleosporales; Pleomonodictydaceae
Description: eukaryotic LSU rRNA
Rfam family: Eukaryotic large subunit ribosomal RNA
Source: RNAcentral